AUCUGAGAAUUCAAAACCAGGAGUUUUCUUCAGCAUAACAAGAAACUGCAGGCAACUCAGGAAGAGGAUCAAAUAUGAAAACAUGCAUCAUCUGCCUAUGCAGUGAAAGUAUAUUUGACAGUUAUUUUGACAAUUAACAGAUCCACAAAAGGGAAGGAAAAGGGGGUCAUUAUCCAAUGAGCGAAAAGAAGAAUUUUGAGCAAUCAUGAGUACAACAUAGUUAUAACCGACUCACCAGUUCACCAUUAUAAACCCUUUCAACAGCCUUAUUGGCAGUUUUGGAUUUAACAACUGCAUCAUCAGGGUUGGCACUUCCAAGAUCAAACCCCGAAGCUCGCCACUGAGGUAAACCUCCAUCUAACACCCAAACUUUAUUGUGCCCAAAAACUCUAAACAUCCUAUUAAUUGAUAAUUGUAAAUGAAGUCAUCAUCUUGUGCAUAAGUAAAGGAUGUUAAUCGAGUAAAGCAACGAGCGGUCACUCUGGUUUGGAAAAGAAACCAAUACACUGAUAAGUCAUACGAACAUGGUAGCAUAUGCACACAAACAGAAGACAAUGGAAUCCUUGAUAA
Panicum virgatum (switchgrass) is the source of this 570-nucleotide long non-coding RNA. RefSeq lists it as uncharacterized. The record is from RefSeq and is a predicted model, not a curated record. Lineage: Eukaryota; Viridiplantae; Streptophyta; Magnoliopsida; Poales; Poaceae. The transcript is spliced from 2 exons.